Molecule: non-coding RNA, 95 nt
Filed under: Streptococcus cuniculi
Lineage: Bacteria; Bacillati; Bacillota; Bacilli; Lactobacillales; Streptococcaceae
Description: Glycine sequence
Rfam family: Glycine riboswitch aptamer
About the family: This family represents the bacterial glycine riboswitch. Glycine riboswitches usually consist of two metabolite-binding aptamers domains with similar structures in tandem.
Source: RNAcentral
AGACGGAACUCUGGAGAGACCGUAAUGGCGCCGAAGGGGCAAGGUGAGGCAAGGCUAUCACUCAAACUCUCAGGCAAAAGGACAGAGCAUAGGAA